AUUGAACGCUGGCGGCAUGCCUUACACAUGCAAGUCGAACGGCAGCACGGGAGCAAUCCUGGUGGCGAGUGGCGAACGGGUGAGUAAUAUAUCGGAACGUGCCCAGUCGUGGGGGAUAACGUAGCGAAAGCUACGCUAAUACCGCAUACGAUCUAUGGAUGAAAGCGGGGGAUCGCAAGACCUCGCGCGAUUGGAGCGGCCGAUAUCAGAUUAGGUAGUUGGUGAGGUAAAGGCUCACCAAGCCGACGAUCUGUAGCUGGUCUGAGAGGACGACCAGCCACACUGGGACUGAGACACGGCCCAGACUCCUACGGGAGGCAGCAGUGGGGAAUUUUGGACAAUGGGCGCAAGCCUGAUCCAGCAAUGCCGCGUGCAGGAUGGAAGGCCCGUUCGGUUGGUU
This 400-nucleotide ribosomal RNA is filed under the name uncultured bacterium. Its description in RNAcentral is "bacterial SSU rRNA". It matches the Rfam family "Bacterial small subunit ribosomal RNA", at positions 30 to 427 of the family's 1533-position model. The record is from RNAcentral.